Molecule: non-coding RNA, 72 nt
Organism: Phrynosoma platyrhinos (Desert horned lizard)
Lineage: Eukaryota; Metazoa; Chordata; Lepidosauria; Squamata; Phrynosomatidae
Source: the annotation of a GenBank genome assembly
GUCAGUGUGGUGUAAAGGUUUAAGCAUUGGACUAUGACUUUGGAGAUCAGGGUUCAAUUCCCUGCUCAGCCA